This 462-nucleotide ribosomal RNA is filed under the name uncultured bacterium. Its description in RNAcentral is "partial 16S ribosomal RNA". It matches the Rfam family "Bacterial small subunit ribosomal RNA", at positions 28 to 506 of the family's 1533-position model. The record is from RNAcentral.
GACGAACGCUGGCGGCGUGCUUAACACAUGCAAGUCGAACGGUGAACCUCUUCGGAGGGGAUCAGUGGCGAACGGGUGAGUAACACGUGGGCAACCUGCCCCCGGCUCUGGGAUAACUCCAAGAAAUUGGGGCUAAUACCGGAUGUUCACCGCUUCCCGCAUGGGUGGCGGUGGAAAGGGUUUCCGGCUGGGGAUGGGCCCGCGGCCUAUCAGCUUGUUGGUGGGGUAGUGGCCUACCAAGGCGACGACGGGUAGCCGGCCUGGGAGGGUGACCGACCACACGGGGACUGAGACACGGCCCAGACUCCUACGGGAGGCAGCAGUGGGGAAUAUUGCGCAAUGGGCGGAAGCCGGACGCAGCGACGCCGCGUGGGGGAUGACGGCCUUCGGGUUGUAAACCUCUUUCAGCAGGGACGAAGCGCAAGUGACGGUACCGGCAGAAGAAGCACCGGCCAACUACGU